CGAGUCGGCCGGGCGGCCGCGGCGGGGGUUCUUCGGAGCCCCCGACGAGGAAGGUCCGGGCUCCACAAGGCAGGGUGGUCGGUAAUGCCGACCCGGAGUGAUCCGCGGGACAGUGCCACAGAAAUCAGACCGCCCCUGCUCAUCGCAGGGGUAAGGGUGAAACGGUGGUGUAAGAGACCACCAGCGCCCCAGGUGACUGGGGUGGCUAGGUAAACCCCACCCGGAGCAAGGUCAAGAAGGGCCCGCCCAGCGGACCCGCGCAGACGCUUGAGGGCAGCCUGCCCGAGCCUGCGGGUAGACCGCUCGAGGCUGCCGGCAACGGUAGCCCUAGAUGGAUGGCCGCCCCUCCGCUUACGCGGAGCGACAAAACCCGGCCUACAGGCCGACUCGUCCA
RNAcentral lists this RNase P RNA (394 nucleotides) under Actinoallomurus bryophytorum. Its description in RNAcentral is "Bacterial RNase P class A". It matches the Rfam family "Bacterial RNase P class A". From Rfam's summary of the family: Ribonuclease P (RNase P) is a ubiquitous endoribonuclease, found in archaea, bacteria and eukarya as well as chloroplasts and mitochondria. Its best characterised activity is the generation of mature 5'-ends of tRNAs by cleaving the 5'-leader elements of precursor-tRNAs. The record is from Rfam by way of RNAcentral. Lineage: Bacteria; Bacillati; Actinomycetota; Actinomycetes; Streptosporangiales; Thermomonosporaceae.